UUGGAGGGCAAGUCUGGUGCCAGCAGCCGCGGUAAUUCCAGCUCCAAUAGCGUAUAUUAAAGUUGUUGCAGUUAAAAAGCUCGUAGUUGAAUUUCGGAAUCUGUCCAUCGGUCGGGCUUCACUGUUCGUACUGGUGUGGUGGGUUCUUACCUUCUGAAUAACCAGCAUGCCAUUAAUUUGGUGCGUUGGGGAAGCAGGACUAUUACCUUGAAAAAAUUAGAGUGCUCAAAGCAGGCCAGUGCCUGAAUACAUUAGCAUGGAAUAAUAAAAUAGGACGGCAUGGUUCUAUUUUGUUGGUUUCUAGGAUCACCGUAAUGAUUAAUAGGGAUAGUUGGGGGCAUUAGUAUUCAAUUGUCAGAGGUGAAAUUCUUGGAUUUAUUGAAGACUAACUUCUGCGAAAGCAUUUGCCAAGGAUGUUUUCAUUAAUCAAGAACGAAAGUUAGGGGAUCGAAGACGAUCAGAUACCGUCGUAGUCUUAACCAUAAACUAUGCCGACUAGGGAUCGGACGAUGUUAAUUUUUUAAUGACUCGUUCGGCGCCUUACGGGAAAC
RNAcentral lists this ribosomal RNA (551 nucleotides) under uncultured Glomeromycotina. RNAcentral describes it as "SSU rRNA". It matches the Rfam family "Eukaryotic small subunit ribosomal RNA", at positions 548 to 1098 of the family's 1831-position model. The record is from RNAcentral. Lineage: Eukaryota; Fungi; Glomeromycota.